RNAcentral lists this small nuclear RNA (303 nucleotides) under Canis lupus familiaris (dog). RNAcentral describes it as "7SK RNA". It matches the Rfam family "7SK RNA". Rfam says of the family: 7SK was discovered as an abundant small nuclear RNA in the mid-70s but a possible function has only recently been suggested. Two independent studies have found that 7SK RNA binds the CDK9/cyclin T complex (known as elongation factor P-TEFb). The record is from Rfam by way of RNAcentral. Lineage: Eukaryota; Metazoa; Chordata; Mammalia; Carnivora; Canidae. RNAcentral also lists the same sequence under 1 other name.
GGAAGAGAGAUCCCCACAUCUACUACCUCAAUGAUCGCCAAAGUUGAUUCAGAUAAUCUAGCUGGCUAGGGGCGUGUCCUCUUCCUCUUUCACUACUUCGUGUGUGUCCCUCUCAAAGCUGUGUACUCAACUGCAGAGGAUGAACUUCCCCAAUAGAGGAUGACCAUUAUUCAGUCAAGUCACUGCAUUCCCCUAGUGGAAUCUCCGAAGAAGAUCUCAAAUCCAUUUGCAAAAGAGCAUAAAUAAGUUAGUGAAGUUUCUAAGACUCCAAAUGAGGUGCUGCAUAGGUAGCAGUCUGCCUUU